UACGUAGGGUGCAAGCGUUGUCCGGAAUUAUUGGGCGUAAAGAGCGUGUAGGCGGCCCGAUUAGUCCGCUGUGAAAGUCCAGGGCUCAACCCUGGAAUGCCGGUGGAUACUGUCGGGCUAGAGUCCGGAAGGGGCGAGUGGAAUUCCUGGUGUAGCGGUGAAAUGCGUAGAUAUCGGGAGGAACACCUGAGGCGAAGGCGGGCUACGGGGCCGAUACUGACGCUGAUGCGCGAAAGCCAGGGGAGCGAACGGG
RNAcentral lists this ribosomal RNA (253 nucleotides) under uncultured bacterium. RNAcentral's name for it is "partial 16S ribosomal RNA". It matches the Rfam family "Bacterial small subunit ribosomal RNA", at positions 524 to 776 of the family's 1533-position model. The record is from RNAcentral.